Molecule: ribosomal RNA, 402 nt
Filed under: bacterium
Lineage: Bacteria
Description: partial 16S ribosomal RNA
Rfam family: Bacterial small subunit ribosomal RNA
Source: RNAcentral
UGGGGAAUUUUGCACAAUGGGGGAAACCCUGAUGCAGCGACGCCGCGUGAUUUAGAAGGCCUUCGGGUGGUAAAAAUCUUUUCUAUGGGAAGAAAAUGACAGUACCAUAGGAAUAAGGACCGGCUAAUUACGUGCCAGCAGCCGCGGUAAUACGUAAGGUCCGAGCGUUGUCCGGAAUCAUUGGGCGUAAAGGGUACGUAGGCGGGUAAGCAAGUUAGAAGUGAAAUCCUAUAGCUCAACUAUAGUAAGCUUUUAAAACUGCUCAUCUUGAGGUAUGGAAGGGAAAGUGGAAUUCCUAGUGUAGCGGUGAAAUGCGCAGAUAUUAGGAGGAAUACCGGUGGCGAAGGCGACUUUCUGGCCAUAACCUGACGCUGAGGUACGAAAGCGUGGGUAGCAAACAGG